AGUGAACGCUGGCAGUAGGCCUAACACAUGCAAGUCGAACGGCAGCACAGUAAGAGCUUGCUCUUACGGGUGGCGAGUGGCGGACGGGUGAGGAAUACAUCGGAAUCUACUUUUUCGUGGGGGAUAACGUAGGGAAACUUACGCUAAUACCGCAUACGACCUACGGGCGAAAGCAGGGGAUCUUCGGACCUUGCGCGAUUGAAUGAGCCGAUGUCGGAUUAGCUAGUUGGCGGGGUAAGGGCCCACCAAGGCGACGAUCCGUAGCUGGUCUGAGAGGAUGAUCAGCCACACUGGAACUGAGACACGGUCCAGACUCCUACGGGAGGCAGCAGUGGGGAAUAUUGGACAAUGGGCGCAAGCCUGAUCCAGCCAUACCGCGUGGGUGAAGAAGGCCUUCGGGUUGUAAAGCCCUUUUGUUGGGAAAGAAAAGCAGCAGGUUAAUACCCCGCUGUUCUGACGGUACCCAAAGAAUAAGCACCGGCUAACUUCGUG
This 492-nucleotide ribosomal RNA is filed under the name uncultured bacterium. Its description in RNAcentral is "partial 16S ribosomal RNA". It matches the Rfam family "Bacterial small subunit ribosomal RNA", at positions 29 to 507 of the family's 1533-position model. The record is from RNAcentral.